RNAcentral lists this ribosomal RNA (432 nucleotides) under Clostridioides difficile. RNAcentral describes it as "bacterial SSU rRNA". It matches the Rfam family "Bacterial small subunit ribosomal RNA", at positions 401 to 854 of the family's 1533-position model. Lineage: Bacteria; Bacillati; Bacillota; Clostridia; Peptostreptococcales; Peptostreptococcaceae. The record is from RNAcentral.
GAGUGAUGAAGGCCUUCGGGUCGUAAAACUCUGUCCUCAAGGAAGAUAAUGACGGUACUUGAGGAGGAAGCCCCGGCUAACUACGUGCCAGCAGCCGCGGUAAUACGUAGGGGGCUAGCGUUAUCCGGAUUUACUGGGCGUAAAGGGUGCGUAGGCGGUCUUUCAAGUCAGGAGUGAAAGGCUACGGCUCAACCGUAGUAAGCUCUUGAAACUGGGAGACUUGAGUGCAGGAGAGGAGAGUGGAAUUCCUAGUGUAGCGGUGAAAUGCGUAGAUAUUAGGAGGAACACCAGUUGCGAAGGCGGCGCUCUGGACUGUAACUGACGCUGAGGCACGAAAGCGUGGGGAGCAAACAGGAUUAGAUACCCUGGUAGUCCACGCUGUAAACGAUGAGUACUAGGUGUCGGGGGUUACCCCCCUCGGUGCCGCAGCUA